GCCGAUAAUAGGAGUCGAACCUACGACCUUCGCAUUCGUAAUGCGAAGGUCGUAGGUUCGACUCCUAUUAUCGGCACCA
Molecule: transfer RNA, 79 nt
Filed under: Salmonella enterica subsp. enterica serovar Typhi str. CT18
Lineage: Bacteria; Pseudomonadati; Pseudomonadota; Gammaproteobacteria; Enterobacterales; Enterobacteriaceae
Description: tRNA-Thr
Rfam family: tRNA
About the family: Transfer RNA (tRNA) molecules are approximately 80 nucleotides in length. Their secondary structure includes four short double-helical elements and three loops (D, anti-codon, and T loops).
Source: RNAcentral